UACGGAGGAGGCAAACGUUGUUCGGAAUUAUUGGGCUUAAAGCGCGUGUAGGCGGCCUGUUAAGCGUCUUGUGAAAUCCCCCGGCUCAACCGGGGAAUGGCUCGGCGAACUGGCGGGCUUGAGGCAGGUAGGGGCAACUGGAACUCCAGGUGGAGCGGUGAAAUGCGUAGAUAUCUGGAGGAACGCCCGUGGCGAAAGCGGGUUGCUGGGCCUGCCCUGACGCUGAGACGCGAAAGCGUGGGGAGCAAACGGG
RNAcentral lists this ribosomal RNA (253 nucleotides) under uncultured bacterium. RNAcentral's name for it is "partial 16S ribosomal RNA". It matches the Rfam family "Bacterial small subunit ribosomal RNA", at positions 524 to 776 of the family's 1533-position model. The record is from RNAcentral.